UGUUAAUGCAUAGUAGGACUAUUCAAAUACUACGUUUUUUUUAGUACCUAAAACAGAGCUGAUUAGUUUUUAAUUUUCUCUUUCACUGCCUAUUUUUUUCAUUUCUGAGUUUUUUCUUCCUUUAAAUGAACCAUGCAUUUUGGUAUUUGGGGCUGUGUUUGGAGACCCUUAAAUCUUCCAGGUAAUCAUGUGUUUCUUAGAAUGCUGCCAACACCCUUCAGUGAGAAUAUUCUAUUUAUGAUCUUAUUUAACUAUGAGGUGUUGCUUCUACUACUAUAGGGGAUUGAAUAAUUCCUUUACAUUCUUCCAGUGCAGAGCAAAAGGCAAUGUUCCGAGACAUCACACAAUCCUACGGCCUUUGACUUUGAACACACUGGGCUUUGCAAAUGCUCAGCAACUUUGAGAAAAGUUAAAAAGACCACCAUUCUGAAAUUCAGAAGAAGUUGUUCCUCAUAGCUUAUUUUCGAAUAUUUUUUUUUCUGCUCUGCUUUAAUCUUCAAUAUAAUCCCACCUACUUUCUGUCUCCUAGAAAUAUGUGUCACCAGAUGACCUUCACCAGAUGACAUUCAUUUUUUUCUACUCUUGUGAAUUUUAGUCUAUUUCCAUUUUAUUUCUAUUCUCUAGGAAGAAAUAUUCAAGAGAAGGGAAAUGAGCAUAUGGCAUUAAGAAUUAGAAGUUUAUACUCAAAGGCUACACUUUUACAAAAUGAUAGCAUUACUUAAUUUUCUUCAUUCAAGACAAUCUUUUCCGACAGGAACAAGUGAAUCAAGAACCCAAGGAGAGAACUGGGCUUAUACUUUCAAAUCAAAGGAAAGAAGUAUUCUGACUUUGUCAAGGGUCCCAUUAACCACAAAAAAAGCAGUGACUUUCUCCAUUCUCAUGUUUUCAGAGUUUUAUUUUUGUUCCCAUCUACAUUUAUUAUUAUUUGUUUUUAUUUUUAAAUUUCAACUUUUAUUUCUCGCUUGUUGUGGUUGUAUUUCCUUCAGCUCCAGAGGCUUCUGUAGUGUUAUUUUCUUUACCCCUAGAGGCAAAGCCUUCCCAUCAUGAGUUAUGCCUUGUCAUUAGUUGCAUGGAGGCACUACUCUCCUUAUGUGAAAUCUUUUCCUCUAUGGCUGCAUACGCACCAUCCGAGGGAAAUGUCUCUACCAUCCUCCAUCACCACUGUGGCAACACUGAACCAUCCAAAACUCAGUCCAGGGCAAUUGGUCUGAGCCCAGACUCUCAUGGACUCAUAUCUAAAUUCUGAUAUACUUUCAAUAACGAUUCCUCUGUGAGGUGAUGUAUUACUCCAUUUUUACGUGAAAUCUUAUUGCUAAUGGACUCUAGCACUAAAACACCAUCAUAGAUUUGGUCAGGAAGAAACAUGUCCUGUGAAAGUUUUGAUACAUCUCAGAAAACAGGAAGAACACACUAAUGAGCGGUCUCUGCUAAACUCCCGUUCUGCACUUGGCCUCCAGAGGGCGAGGCUGCACAAAUUGGAGCUUUUGUUUGUGUUGAAGAUCAAUUCACUGCUCAGUUUCUUCUUCCUGCAGCUGGUUGAGUUCUUUCUAGACAGAGACAAGUGACAAGAAUCAGAGGUUUAAAAGCAACCACAUUCAUCUCUGCAGGUUUUGUAGUUUUAUAUAAGCAAGGAGCUCGUCCAGCAAACCUUCCGCACACUUCUUGUUCUUGGUCUCUUCAGCCACUUUCCUUCUUGUUCUCUGGAGAUCUUGCAGAAAAGAGCCUGUAGUGUUUCCCUUGCUCAGCCAUGCUCCUGGUGUUCAUCCCACUGCUGGGGAUACAUUUUGUCCUGAGAACUGCCAGAGCCCAGUCAGUGACCCAGCCUGAUAUCCAUAUCACUGUCUCUGAAGGAGCCUCACUGGAGUUGAGAUGUAACUAUUCCUAUGGGGCAACACCUUCUCUCUUCUGGUAUGUCCAGUCCCCUGGCCAAGGCCUCCAGCUGCUCCUGAAGUACUUUUCAGGAGACACUCUGGUUCAAGGCAUUAAAGGCUUUGAGGCUGAAUUUAAGAGGAGUCAAUAUUCCUUCAACCUGAGGAAACACUCUGUGCAUUGGAGUGAUGCUGCUGAGUACUUCUGUGCUGUGGGUGCCACAGUGCCUGGGUCUGCAGGGGGAGCUGAACACAAACUGCCUAUGCCAGAGAAGUUUUCAGAGACUCAGUGCAUCUUCCUGUGGCAUUUUCAAAGAUCUCUUGCUUUUAUGAUGAGUGGAAAGAACUGUAUAAGAAACUUUUAUACUCCUUGUCUGCUUGCUGCCUCGGAGGAUAACCAGUGCUUCGGAGGAAAAGGAGAAGGAGGAGGAGAGAGCUCUUUAGCUGCCAUUUAGCUCACACUAUAAUGUCUACGAGGGUAGGUGCAUGGGGACCCUGAAAAUAUAGAUCAAAUUAGUAAAUUGUGGGCAAUGGCACUCCUUAGCCAAAUGAUGAACCAAGAUGUCAACAGUAUGUUUUAGGGCGUGGUGAUAUGACUACAUGUGGUAAAUAUGUUUAAGUGAUUUCUGGAAUGCUGUGAGGAAGGUGAAUGAUGUGUCAGAUAUAUAAAAUUAUGAAAAAGAAAUGUAUGCUCAUUUAAUGUUCCUGCCUCAGUCCCUUCCUUCUUUCCUGGUUUUGGACCACACUCUCAUCUACUACUGAUAAGACAAAUAAUUUCAAGUGACUCAUUGUCGUCAGCUCAGUCACACUGCCCAAAAGGACUCAUCAUAGUAUCAUGAGCACUUUAUGCAGAUCGAUUUGAGAAAAAACUGCCCAUUUCUUUUGAUUCUGAUCUCAAACUGAAUAUUAAAGAAAAAUAAAUUUCAUACCAAGGACCCUAAGCAGCUGGGAGGGCAUUCCCCAUCUCCCCUACCUCACUUCUGCCUGAAAAAUCAAAGUAGUCUUGCUUCCUUCUACUAAUAAUUUGUUGCUUUUAUAUAAGUACAUGAUUUGUAGGAGAAACUUUCCAAAAUAAGGAAUUAUAUUAAGAAAGUGGAAAUUCUGAGUUAUUUUAUCAAUGAUAUCAAUCAUUCCGACUGUUCAGAAAGGAUUCUGAAUUUUCUUGUAAUUAACUGAUCUUACUACAUAUUCCAUCACCCAGAAACAGGUACCCUAAUCAAAAGGCGGAAUAUUUUACUGAAGAUCAAGCUAGAGCCCUGAAUGGGAGACAACAGCACAUAUGCUAAACAUUUUCUUCUCUCCCUAUAUCGUGUUUUUAUCUUAUGUACAAGCUAUUGGAAAUAAACUUAUAAUUUAGUGUAAAGGUAACAGAAUUUUCAGGCUGAGUGAAGUGGCUCACACCUGUAGUUUCAGCACUGUGGGAGGCUUAGGCAGGAGGAUCACUUGAGGCAAGGAUUUCAA
Cercocebus atys (sooty mangabey) is the source of this 3329-nucleotide non-coding RNA. Lineage: Eukaryota; Metazoa; Chordata; Mammalia; Primates; Cercopithecidae. The record is from the annotation of a RefSeq genome assembly.